This 348-nucleotide ribosomal RNA is filed under the name uncultured bacterium. Its description in RNAcentral is "partial 16S ribosomal RNA". It matches the Rfam family "Bacterial small subunit ribosomal RNA", at positions 338 to 683 of the family's 1533-position model. The record is from RNAcentral.
CCUACGGGAGGCAGCAGUGAGGAAUAUUGGUCAAUGGGCGAGAGCCUGAACCAGCCAAGUAGCGUGAAGGAUGACUGCCCUACGGGUUGUAAACUUCUUUUAUAAAGGAAUAAAACGAGGCACGUGUGCCUUUUUGCAUGUACUUUAUGAAUAAGGAUCGGCUAACUCCGUGCCAGCAGCAGCGGUAAUACGGAGGAUCCGAGCGUUAUCCGGAUUUAUUGGGGUUAAAGGGAGCGUAGAUGGGUUGUUAAGUCAGUUGUGUAAGUUUGCGGCUCAACCGUAAAAUUGCAAUUGAUACUGGCAGUCUUGCGUUCAGUUGAGGUAGGCGGCAUUCGUGGUGUAGCGGUU